Molecule: ribosomal RNA, 531 nt
Filed under: uncultured archaeon
Lineage: Archaea
Description: bacterial SSU rRNA
Rfam family: Archaeal small subunit ribosomal RNA
Source: RNAcentral
CCCUACGGGGCGCAGCAGGCGCGAAAACUUUACAAUGCGGGAAACCGUGAUAGGGGAACUCUGAGUGCCCGUUAAAUCGGGCUGUCCACCAGUUUAAACAACUGGUGAAGAAAGGGCCGGGCAAGACCGGUGCCAGCCGCCGCGGUAAUACCGGCGGCUCGAGUGGUGGCCACUAUUACUGGGCUUAAAGCGUUCGUAGCUGGUUUGUUAAGUCUCUGGGGAAAUCUUCCGGCUUAACCGGAAGGCGUCUCAGGGAUACUGGCAGACUAGGGACCGGGAGAGGUGAGGGGUACUCCAGGGGUAGGAGUGAAAUCCUGUAAUCCUUGGGGGACCACCUGUGGCGAAGGCGCCUCACCAGAACGGCUCCGACAGUGAGGGACGAAAGCUGGGGGAGCAAACCGGAUUAGAUACCCGGGUAGUCCCAGCCGUAAACGAUGUGCGUUAGGUGUAUCGGUGACCACGAGUCACCGAGGUGCCGAAGAGAAAUCGUGAAACGUACCGCCUGGGAAGUACGGUCGCAAGGCUGAAACU